AGGGGUGUGGCCACUUUCACUGACAUGUUUUCCAAUCAGAGUCUGUUUCUAGCCGUUAUCUGGAUUAUAUGGCUAAUAUCAUGGCUUGCUUCGUGGUACAGACUAUUCAAGAAGUCUGUGCUUCAGCUUUGGCUUACCGUCGGUCGUUCCUCCUGCGCCGGAAGAGCUUUUUGGUGUGUGCGAUCUCAGCCUCGUUAGGAAGGGGUGGGAAGACCUGUAACAAGACAAAUCACCGAGUAAGAGAUGACUGAAGUAUUGCUACAAGAAUUCUCACAGUAUUAGAUGACCAACAAUUUUUAUUCAGGCUUGUGCGACUGCUGGAACUUUUUCCACAGUUCUUGUAAGUCAUGGAGGAAGUCUCCCCCCCGUUUGUGCUUGUGAUACUUCUGAAAUGAGGAAGUAUCUAAGUUCAUAGAAACCUGUUUUCAGGAUCUUUUUCAAACCCUCCUUCAAGAAGGUGAACAAGAUGCCCCAUGAGGAUGUCUGCAUGUCUACCAGUUUAUUGUGACCAGGAAGACUUGUCUGCAACAACAUGCACGUGCUGAUCAGGCAGGCUUCCAGUGGAAAAGUACUGUACAACUGGAAUAUCUACUAGUCUAUGGGAUAUUCAGCUGUCCAUGUCUACGACUAAGGAUCACCGUUUAAGUGCAACAAGUUGCCAGCAGAAAGGAGAGAUCCCUGCAAACAUAAAUAUAGAGCCAGGAUGCUGAGGAUAUAUAUUUAUUUAAUAGAGAUUCAUGACAAUAAAAGCGAUGACAAUACUGAAGAAACAAGACUCCCUUUCUAUUAGUAACAAAACCAUGCUCAGUGGGGUAUGCAAUUUGUAAUUUAAUGUAAUCCCAGUUAACUAUGAAACUUCUAGUCAUCUAACGGGCCACAAAAAGAUGUACAUACUUUCGAACACAAAACCCUGUGCUUAUCAUUCCAACCAAGGUUUACAUUGAUUUUGUUUUAUUUUACACUGUGGUCUCUUGUGGAAGACUUAAGUACCCUUCCUGUUAUCUUGAGGGCUAUUCAAGACCAAAGAGAGUGUCAGUGAAUGGCCUUGUUGGUAUGAGAAACAACUGGGCAUCAGUGGCCUUGCUUUAUAGCUGCAUGACCCCACAGGGCAUGGUUUUGGGAUCAGCUUGCCAGGGCUCGAUAUUCACACAAUCGGAACGUAAAAGAGUAACUGGGAGAAGAUGAGAAUUGCCAGAAACAGCUGAGAAAUGUCAGGGAAAACAAAACAGAAAAUGUGGCACACAAUUCCCAGCUCUGCGUCUCUGAUCCCGAUCGCAGCACAGAAACGCUGAUGACCCCAUCUAUCUUUUGGCCCUUACUGAAUGAACGGAAACGACAAUCUUGGCUCAGAAAUGAUACAGUGAGGAAGCCAUCUCGAUCGCUCACCUAGAUCCAUCUUAACCCAAGCUGCGUGAGCGGCGCAGCUCAGCUCAAAGGCCAAGAGGGGAAGGAAAGAGGAAGACACUGUAGCUUAAACACCAUGAAAGACGGAGGAUAUUUUGGCUCAGAAAGCAGGGGAGGAAGAGAGGAGGGUGACCUAAUGUGAACUCUCGUCACCUCAAUGAAUCACAAAUCAUGUUGGAAAACACAAUGCUCAAUACCUUAUACAGAGAAGCAUUCCAGCUGCAAAAUGACUUUUACUCUGUUGAUGCGAGACACGUCACGUUCAGAAACACUGCUGUUGCCCUUUAGACUGCAAGUAAUGUAAGUAAGAGGCACUUAGAUCCCAUUUAGAGAAGAUGCUAAACCUCCUCAAUAGUUCAGGAACUCGGAAUAACCCUAUAAUAUAUAUAAGGUUACUUUCCCUGUCAAGAUUUUAGAAAAAGUUGCCUUUCUCAAGUUUUUUCAUACUUGAAUACUUUUAAUAUGUUUAAAAGAUUUCAGUCUAAUUUAAGAAAGAUGCAGAUUUUGCCUUGUUAAGAGUUUAUAAUGAUAUCCUUUUAUCUGCUGAUUUUGGCUCUUCUAGACUUUACUGCAUUUAGACAAUGAUCUAAACUAAAUAUUUUUAAACUGGAUUUCCUUAUUUGAUGGCACCUUUAGAUUCCAAACUGCUCGUCAUUCCUAACUUCCAUUAACUGCGGCAUCCCUCAAGGAUCCAUUUUAGGUCCUUUUUUACUUAAAUUGUACACGCGACCUCUUUUGUUCUAUUGUUCAUAGAUACAAAAUUCACUAUCACUGUUAUGCAGACAAAAAAAACCACUUCAACAAAAUGACUUCACUUAACUUAGGUUAUUUUAUUUGGCAUCCCAAGCUCCACAAACAUCAAGAUAAGUUCAAACUGCAGUUAAAAAUCAUGGUGUUUUUAUGGAGAGUUAUUUUACUUUUAACGAUCAAAUCAAGAAUGUUGUUAAAGGAAGCUUUUACCAACUGAGAACCAUCACUAAGUUAAAGCCAGUUUUGCAGCUCUCAAUACUCUCAAUACUCUCUCUCUCUCUCAGUUGCACAUGGUUUAAAAUGCAGCUGAUCAAAGCUUAACCAGUACAAUGAAAAUAGCACAUCACUAUCUGUGAUAUUUCAAAUGGAUUUUAAAAUUUUAUUAUUUGUUUUAAAGUCCACAAUAUAUCUGUAAUAUAUUGAAGAAGUUCUUUUAAAAAUCUUUUUUCCUCUGUGUCACGGAGGUUCUGGCAAUUUCUUAAAUCAGCUCUAAAGGACUCUCUUUUUCUGCUCUAUUAUAUGCUUUAUUACAGCUCAAUGUAAAUAUUUUCUAUUGCUCUUUUAUUUGACUCUUUUGACCACUCAUAGAUUUUAUUUAUGUUUUCAUUCUUGUUUUUGAAAUUAUUGGGUUCUUGGUGAUCUGGAAAACACUCUGGGUCAAUAUGUCUGUGAAGGUUCUCAGUCAUCCAGGUCAUCGUAGUCUGAGCUUGAAAGAAAAGCGACUGGACUUCUUUAAGUUGCUUGAAGACUCUGGGUCAACUUAUGUUGUUGUUUGUACACUGACCUGACAGUAUAUUUGUCUUAUUACAGAGCAAGAAAACACUGCAUGGGGACUUCAGCUAAACUAAAGAAUACACGUACACAGAAAUACUGAGGCAUACAUUUCUGUAUUUUGUGGACUGAAGUCACUAUUAAUAGAUUUGCAUUUUCAGACUAUGAAAAUGAGCAAGCAUUAUAACUUCUAUCACGGUACAAGUAUUGUUUUGAGACACACUUGGAGAAAAUGUGAACCUACUCAUUAAGUUUUGCACGAGUGCUGUUAGAGAUAAUCAGACGCUGACUAAAACAGCGACUGCCUCAGAAACCAACAACCCACAUCUCUUCCGUGUGAAUCAUUUGGGCAUCUACGCAUAUAUGUUAUGCAAACAUUUGCCCACUAGAGGAAGAUAUAACAUCAUUAUUCACAGUUACAGCUCACUCCUGCAUCUGACCAGCAGGUGUCACUAAAGUUUUUAUUUUCAAUCAACAAGUCUCAGAAAGUACAUAUAACACAGACUGAUCUUGCACUCUUAAGUUCCUUUUUUUUUCGUUUUAGAAAAAGAAAUUAACAACACAUUUCUCUUUUAGUACAAGAAAGAUCAUUCCUGUAAUUAUGCUUAAUAUUCUAGUAAUUUAAUCAAAAACCGGACUCCAGCACUGUUGACUCUGAACUCCAUUUGGUGCACAUUAUUCCUCCACCUAACCACCAGGGGUCACUCUCUAACAGCAAAUCACACAGUAUUGCUAAAGCUUCUUAAAGUUGUGACCUGUGAAUGGCUUUCUCAUACCUGUUCACUGCAGUACUAAACCGGGAUGGCGUAGUUUCACACAAGAAAAAAAUCAG
Long non-coding RNA from Oreochromis niloticus (Nile tilapia), 3757 nucleotides. RefSeq lists it as uncharacterized. The transcript has 4 exons. Lineage: Eukaryota; Metazoa; Chordata; Actinopteri; Cichliformes; Cichlidae. The record is from RefSeq and is a predicted model, not a curated record.